RNAcentral lists this transfer RNA (94 nucleotides) under Heyndrickxia coagulans. RNAcentral describes it as "tRNA-Ser". It matches the Rfam family "tRNA". From Rfam's summary of the family: Transfer RNA (tRNA) molecules are approximately 80 nucleotides in length. Their secondary structure includes four short double-helical elements and three loops (D, anti-codon, and T loops). Further hydrogen bonds mediate the characteristic L-shaped molecular structure. tRNAs have two regions of fundamental functional importance: the anti-codon, which is responsible for specific mRNA codon recognition, and the 3' end, to which the tRNAs corresponding amino acid is attached (by aminoacyl-tRNA synthetases). tRNAs cope with the degeneracy of the genetic code in two manners: having more than one tRNA (with a specific anti-codon) for a particular amino acid; and 'wobble' base-pairing, i.e. permitting non-standard base-pairing at the 3rd anti-codon position. RNAcentral also lists the same sequence under 2 other names. Lineage: Bacteria; Bacillati; Bacillota; Bacilli; Caryophanales; Bacillaceae. The record is from RNAcentral.
GGAGGAAUACCCAAGUCUGGCUGAAGGGAUCGGUCUUGAAAACCGACAGGCGGGUUACAACCGCGCGGGGGUUCGAAUCCCUCUUCCUCCGCCA